AGGGCGGGGGGGGUGUUGGCGGCCGGGCAGCGCGGCGAGAGCGGGCGCCCCCCAGCCGUGCCCGCGUCCCGGUGCUGCAUGGCGCUGCUCAGCCUGCCUUGCAGAGGGAGCUCGAGUCCCGCUCUGCGCCUCGCAGCGCCUCUCACUCCGCAGCACACGCCAGCGCAGCGAGGCGGCGGCCGGCAGGAGCGGGACACGCAGCCAUCGCCGCCGCUACCGCCCCGCGGUCAGGAGCCGGCCGGACACCGAGGGAAGCCACGGGCGGCGGGCGGAGGGCGCCGGGCCGAGCCCUGCUGAGGGUUGUGGCAGACCUGUAGCUGGUUGACAGGCAAGCUGAGAGGAGGGGAGAAUUCUAUGAGCUCAUGCUGCAUCCUCUCUGUAUUUUCUUACCAUAAAAGCACGUGAAAUGGAGCUAGAGUAAUGGGUUAAAAUAUUAACAGUUCAAAAAUAAAAUGCAUUGGAAGGAA
Non-coding RNA from Phalacrocorax carbo (great cormorant), 467 nucleotides. The record is from RefSeq and is a predicted model, not a curated record. NCBI's taxonomy places the organism in Eukaryota, Metazoa, Chordata, Aves, Suliformes, Phalacrocoracidae.